AAUGGCUCGAUUUGACGAAACACCUGUCGGUGGUGUUUCGUUUCAAAUUAAUAGAACUUGAAAUUUUCGUUCCCGAUAGUUUGCGAUAGAGAGAGGAGAGCAGAGAGGAAAGGAGAGAGAACCCAGCUCACGACCCCUUCUGAAAUCUCCACCUCAGAGAGGUAUUGGAACAAAUUUAGGGGUUUUUUGGACCACCUAUGACUGACUCUAGAUUCCAGAGAUAGAGAUCGAUAAGCUUCACAAAGUUUUGGUUUCGAAUAUAUUUUGGAACUCUCAUAGAGAGAGGAGAGAAGAAGAAACAGGAGCUCGCCCCCUUGUGAAAUCUCCUGUGCAGAGCAGGUAUUGGGACAAAUUUUAGGGUUUUUUUAGACCACCUAUGACUGACUCUAGCUUCCAGAGAUAGAGAUCGAUAAGCUUCAACGUUUUGAGGAGAGAUUUGUUUGUAACCCUCAAAUAUUCUCCUAAAAUGUCUUCAUCAUCGUAUAGCUCAUAUAGAGAGGUAAUGUCUUCUUCUUCUCUUCUCGAUUUUGCAGAGCCUCUGUUGAUUAUUUCACUAUUAUUAGCAUCUUAACCCAGCACGAUUAGUGAAGCGUAGUGGGCUGGUUCUGUUUGUCAUUGAGAUGGGUUUUGGGUUGUAUUGGAGAUAUUAUCAUUAAUUCUUAGCUCUCAUAAAGAUUCGAUAUUGUCCCUUCUAUUACUCCAGUUCUUGGAAUUUUUUGUUUCCCUACCGAGAUCUGCAUGACACAUUUGUUGUAUUUCAGAUGUUCUAAUCGGUUCAUAAUGACAAGGAAAUUAGUAGUUGGAGAUAACAACUAUUGAAUCUUUGUUGAGACAGCAAUUGCAUAAAUCAAUGAGGUUUGGAGUUGAGUUGCACUUGUAUGUCACUUGCUUUAUUCACUACUAAGCCUAUAUUACUACUUGUAGUUGUAUUACUAUGGUAUUGACAUGGCUUAGAGGUUGAGAUUUGUAGACUACCAUCUGUUUGACUUUUUUCCACAGUGAGAAGUUGAGUCUCUCUCUCUUCUUGUUUCUUUGGUUGUCCUAGUGGGAUCGGUUAUAGAUGAGAAAAAUUAAUUGUGUUUAAUAGAGUGAUUAAUGAGGAUCCCCUUGUAGUGAUGUUAAUGGUGAAUUGGAGAAAGAAGCUACUGGAGGACCUCAUUGGUUAAUCCAAAUAACAAAGAUAGAAGUAUAGAGGUGUUUGAUCCUCCUUAUGUAAGGAUCUACAAUGAUAGGGAUGACAAGUUUUGAGUUGAAAGUAUUAUUUUUCUGUUUGGUCAUUACCUGUGUACUGUCUAAUGGAAUUUUCUAACCUUCUGUUCUUAUUUUACAGUUGAAUCCCCUUUUUUUCCAGUGGCCAAUCCAUUGGGGACUUUUCUCAGUCUAUUAUGCAUUGGAUACACUCGGUCUAGAUUUCAUUUUGUGUUUGGUUGUUAUGUUUUACCAUAAAUUUUGCUAGCCUCAAAGGUCUUUAUGAGUAGUCAGUAAAACUUUCCCCGAUGUUUUUCAUGUGAGUAAUUUGUGGCUUGAACUGUUCUCAUGAACAAGUUCCCUGACCAUCCAUCUCACCUUCUUUACUCUCUUCUUCCCCAGGAAAUUAGAGCAAGGAUAACAUGGAUUAAACUCCAUUCAUGUCAAUUUUCAGUAAUCACAACCCCGUGAGACCCAGCCUUCUUAAGUCCACAUUCUAGGAGGCAAAAUUGAGAUUUUCUGCAUAAGCAAACCCAAUAUAGGUGUUUGAAGGUACCCUUAGGACUUAGAAAGACAAUAGGAUUCUCUUACUCCCCAAUGUCACCAACCAUGCUAGCUGUAGGAAGCACUACAGAGUACAGAUUUCAGUAAAACAUAAGAAAAAAAUUAAAUUAACUUGAAAAAUAUAACGUUCAGGCAAACAGGAUGGAGGGUUCUGCACUUAAUCAUAGCCAAAAAUUCCAGAAAUAAAAACCACCACAGGCUGCGGGGGUACCUAAAAUUGGAAUCACCGAAAAUUGGAAUCACCUAUGACAUAUUACCUCCACAAUAUCAGUCAAUAGAACCAUGUUAAGUCCAGUCUAUUUAACAUCAAUGUUCUUGAUGAUAUGAACUGAAAAUCCACCAUUUAAAACAGUACAAUGAAUCUGCUAGGACCAGAUAAGGUCCAUGCAUACAUAACUUGUAAUAAUCACCAGCUGGUAUGGGUAAUUGAAACUAAAUUUCCACUACAUCUUCUUACUUCAAUUCUGCAGCAAGUUAGGCCUUAAAGAUCACCUAAGGUUCUUAUGGGCUUGGCCCAGUUGAUGGUUGGACAUGAUCUUAUGACUCACAGUGGAACUUGUUUAUAGGAAAAUAAAAAAUUAAAAAAGACAAAAGGCUUCCUCUCACAUAACUAUAGAAUUCCACAACCAGUUAAAUAUUCAACAUCAAAGAAUGUGUUGUAUCCCUGAGAACUUUUUGAUAUGUUAAUUUAAUUAACAGGUACUUAAUAAGCAAAAUGAUAUUUCAUAUUUCAGAAUGAAAAUUGAAAUGUGACCAUUCUAUAGAAUAUAACCUGCCUAUUCAACUGUUGGAUUUGCCAAAUCUUCCAUCUGCAUAAAACACAAAUCAUCUCCACAAUAUGUCAAACAGAGAGAAGGCUGAGGUUGGAAACAAAAGAAAAAUAUGCUGCCCCUACUUACAACACCCUGAGGAAUUAAUAAAACCAUUUUGCCUUCCUAUUGCCCAAUGGUCCUUGAACAAUUUUCAGUAUUUUUUGGUUUGCUAUAAACCAAUGGCCUAUUUCAGAGUAAUAAAUAGGGACCCAACUUCAACUUCCACUAACAGCUAUACAAUUAACAUUGAUUGGUAUUGAGACAAAAAGGAAGACCCACCAAAACCAUGCCCUUUGUUUCUUUCCCUAUGGCACAUAAAGCCACUCUUACAAGUAACCCACGUAGUACUUGUUUUAUGAUACAUUUAUAUAUGUGGUACAAGUUGAUAUAUUAUUAUGAAUGUCAUAUAGUUGGAUGCUAUAUUAAUUUUUUUGAUAUUUAAAUUUCUGUUAUAGAUGAC
Long non-coding RNA from Macadamia integrifolia, 3024 nucleotides. RefSeq lists it as uncharacterized. The record is from RefSeq and is a predicted model, not a curated record. The transcript has 3 exons. NCBI's taxonomy places the organism in Eukaryota, Viridiplantae, Streptophyta, Magnoliopsida, Proteales, Proteaceae.